AAAUGAAUUGACGGGGACCCGCACAAGCAGUGGAGUAUGUGGUUUAAUUCGAAGAUACGCGAAGAACCUUACCAGGGCUUGACAUGCAGAGAAUCCCGCUGAGAAGCGGGAGUGCCUUCGGGAACUCUGACACAGGUGGUGCAUGGUUGUCGUCAGCUCGUGUCGUGAGAUGUUGGGUUAAGUCCCGCAACGAGCGCAACCCUUAUUGCCGGUUGCUAACAUUAAGUUGAGCACUCCGGCGAGACUGCCGUUGACAAAACGGAGGAAGGUGGGGACGACGUCAAAUCAUCAUGCCCCUUAUGUCCUGGGCUACACACGUACUACAAUGGCCGUUAACAAUGGGCAGCCAAGGCGCGAGCCGGAGCAAAUCCCCAAAAACGGUCCCAGUUCGGAUUGCAGGCUGAAACUCGCCUGUAUGAAGUUGGAAUUGCUAGUAAUCGCGAAUCAGAAUGUCGCGGUGAAUACGUUCCCGGGUCUUGUACACACCGCCCGU
This 493-nucleotide ribosomal RNA is filed under the name uncultured bacterium. RNAcentral describes it as "bacterial SSU rRNA". It matches the Rfam family "Bacterial small subunit ribosomal RNA", at positions 903 to 1397 of the family's 1533-position model. The record is from RNAcentral.